Non-coding RNA from Cajanus cajan (pigeon pea), 3091 nucleotides. Lineage: Eukaryota; Viridiplantae; Streptophyta; Magnoliopsida; Fabales; Fabaceae. The record is from RefSeq and is a predicted model, not a curated record.
GUCUCACUCUAUAUGCAACUCUCCUCUCUCAUUUCCACUCUCGAGAGUCACUCUCUUCUCUUACGCUUCAUUCGUUUCCAGUGUCAAGAUUCUCUUUUCGAAGAGUCUUUCUUCCAUAGCACUUGCACACACUAAUGCCUCAUCUUUGAAACGGUGGACAUGAAUUUUACCGUACCUCGCUGGUGACCUUCUUUGAAAGGGUUUUUCUUUUUGUGCGGUGCAAAGACCGGUGGAUAUGGAUAUUACAGUUUCUCAAUCUGGUGACGUUGUGUAGAUGGAAGGGUUUUUCUCUUUGUUCCUCACUCCGGUGACCAUGUGCCGAUGGAAGGUAAAAAUUAAAAUCAUGUAAUGGUGAUGUUAUUGCUUCCAAUCCACCUUGAAGCAACUCUUUGAGGAAUUUGAAAGUGGUGAUGAUUCUUCAUUGCUAGGAUCUGUAACAGUGCACAUAAUGGAAGCUUGAAAACAAAUUUAGAAGGAAGAUCAAAGCAGUAUAAAGACCUUGCAUUGACAUAUCUUUUUCUCAUGAACAAUGUUCAUUAUAUUGUCAGAUUAGUUUGGAGGUCUGAAGACAAUGAUUUGCUAAGAUUCUUCCGUUGCUUAUCUAUUCAGGGCCUUAGCUCAUCAGGUGGUGGGAGUGGUACUGGUGGCAGUGAUGGUGGAACUGGAAGCAGUAGUGGUGCUUCAUUAAGGACAGAUUGGAACUCUUCUUAAAGGCAAAGCUUGCUCUGGAAUAAAAGAAGCUGCAACUAGUUUGACAAAACAUCUUGCACAAAGAACCCAGGAGACCUUUGAAGAAUUUGAAGUGGCAAUCCAGAAAGAUGCUAGAAAGACUGCAGUUAUAGAUGGAACUGUCCAUCCUUUGACACGCUCUGUGAUUAACUAUCUAUCAAUCCACCUUGAAGCAACUUUUUCUGGAUUUUGAAAGUGGUGAUGAUUCUUCACAGCUAGCAUAUGUAACUGCGAAUAAUGCAAGCUUUGCAAACCAAUUUAGAUGGAAAAUCAGAGCAGUAUAAAGACCCUGCAUUAACACAUUGUUUUCUCAUGAACAAUAUUCAUUAUAUUGUAAGAUGGGUUUGGAGGUCUGAGGCCAAGGAUUUGCUAGGGGAUGACUGAAGCCAAGGUCUGGAGCCAAUGACAUAGGAGGAUUGUUCAGCAGCAUGCAAAUCUAUAAAAAAGAAAUGCUUGGGCAAAGGUCUUAUUCUAGUGACCUUGCUGACCAUUACUUGUCUUGCAGCUUUCUUAGAUGUCACUUGGAUAAUGUGAAGCAGUAUGAUACUUGUGAAAUAGUCGCGGUGAAGAUGGCAAGACUUCGUGAAGAUGGCAAGACUUCGUGUAUUGCAAUUUGUUAAGGAUUUUCCUAAUUUCUUUUGGUUCAGUGCUAGUUUUCAAACAGUCUUUGAUCGAGUCUGAUUCACGAUGCAUAAGCGAAUUUAUUUUUACACGUAUUAUGCAUGAAUAACUGUUAUUUUGAUUGACUUCAACUACUUAUUAAGUUUUUAAACUACAAAAAUUAAACUGUGCUAUUUUUUGAUGCUUACUCAUUGUCUCACAUGUUGCGGGAGAGAAGUAUGCAUUUUGCAAUUCUUGCAAUUUUUUUGUUUGUUUGUUGUUAUAUGUAGGUGGAGGGUCUCAGGAGAUCGGUGAAUUUUAAGAUUUUGGGAUAGUUUCACUUUUGCACUAAUUUUAAGAUAGUUUUAUUUGCCUUACUUUUUGCACUUGAAUUUGAUUUCAGCUUUGGAAUUUCAAUCAUGGACACAUUUUUGAGGCAUGUAAAGACAAUCUCAAGAAGUUUCAGCUAAGUUAUCUAGAUUCACUUUCUUAUUGUCAAAAAGGCAUAUUGGUAUGUUUGUUUCUUAUGUGUCCCUUAAAUACAAUUUUUUGUGCAUGUAUAGGAACAAUUAUAAUUAGCAUUAUUAAAGGAGUGAUCUGAUUGGGCAGAGUAUUUUUACCUUACACAGAGAAUUAAUAUACACGAGAUCAAAUAUAUACAUGAAUUAUGAGUACAUUUAUACUUAUUAAAAAUCUUAUCUAAUUAUUAAGUAUCUUAUAUAAUUGCAUGAUUAUAUUACCUUAUUGUAUACACUUGUGUACAGCUUGUGAUACUAAGCAGGCCUCCAAUAUACUUAUAUGAAGCGCCUUUCGGCUGCUUCUUUUCUCUUCGAAGUUGAAAUGGCCGCGCAAAGAAACGACAGCAAAACAACACAAACAAGCCGAAGAAGAUGCACAAGUAAAGUAGAACCUUUCAUACAUUGAUUGAUUUUGCUUCUCUGAUUCUCAUUUUCCUCUUUGUUAUUUGAACUUUGUUUCGCCACACACAAUACCUCUUCCAUCUCUUGCUUUUCUUUUCUUUACCUUGUAAUUGCUUUUCCUUCUCUGAUUUUGAAUUGAACUCUAUUCUUGUUUCUAUUUUUUGUGAUUCUUGUUUUUAUGUUUUUUUCUCUUCUCUUUGGAGUGCGAUGAGAUUGAAUCCUGGCUGUCCUUAUUGCUGUUUUUGAUUCCUCUGUCUGGGUCUUGGUUCUUUCUUGAACUUGCAUUUUGUUGUUUUCAAGAUUGCUGAUUUUUUAUUUAUUUGAUUUUGAUUGCAUGCAAGAACAAGAAUGAUGACAAAGGAUACAAGUAUGCAAAUUUCAAUGGUCAUGAUUUUGAUUUAAUGCAAGAACAAGAAUGAAGACAGAGAAAACUAAUCCGCUGUAUGCAAAUAUCAAUGAUCCCGUUGUAUUUCAGGUGUUGGGACUUGGGGGUGUUGGGCUAGGCUGGUGUGUGAUCGUUUUCUGUCCGUGGUUAUAGCAGUAACAAACUGAGCAGAUAUUCUUUACCCCGCCCUUAUGCCUCUUUCAAGACUUCCUAAGGUUAUAACAGCAACAAGUUGUGCAGAUAUUCUCAACCCUGCCCUUAUGCAUUCUGGGCCAUUGGGUCGUAAAUUAAGUUUCUGCACCCAAUUGACGAAGGGCUCAGAUUCUACAGAUCUAUUAAAGGACGGGUGAAUGUUCACCCUGAUGUCAACAUUGAAGAACUUGCUCCUUCUACAGGUGAUUUCAAUGGAGCACACCUGCAGGCUGUCUGUCUGUGUUGAGCCUGGCAUUUUGGCUUU